This 392-nucleotide unclassified non-coding RNA is filed under the name soil metagenome. RNAcentral describes it as "partial contains 5.8S ribosomal RNA, internal transcribed spacer 2, and large subunit ribosomal RNA". The stretch from base 1 to 122 matches the Rfam family "5.8S ribosomal RNA", at positions 35 to 154 of the family's 154-position model. The record is from RNAcentral.
GAUGAAGAACGUAGCGAAAUGCGAUACUUGGUGUGAAUUGCAGAAUCCCGUGAACCAUCGAGUCUUUGAACGCAAGUUGCGCCCGAAGCCAUUAGGCCGAGGGCACGCCUGCCUGGGCGUCACACGUCGUUGCCCCCCCCAUCUACUCCUUCGGGAUUGCGGGGGGCGGAUGAUGGCCUCCCGUGUGCCUCGCCGCGCGGUUGGCAUAAAUGCCAAGUCCUCGGCGACGCACGCCACGACAAUCGGUGGUUGCGAAACCUCGGUUGCCCGUCGUGUGCGGUCGUCGCGCAUCGAGGGCUCGAAAAAAUUGCCGGGUUCCGGCUCGGCUUUCAACGCGACCCCAGGUCAGGCGGGGUUACCCGCUGAAUUUAAGCAUAUCAAUAAGCGGAGGA